CCUGUCGGCCAUGUGCAGCAGUGAUGUCGUGUGUCGGCCGCUCUCCUCACCUGCAGGAAACACAACAACCAGAGACCAGAGGAGAUGAGGAGAUUCAGUCGAGGAGACAGAGACUUCAUGACCAGGAUGACUCCGCCUCUCCAGCUCACCUGUCUGACUGUCACACCUGACGUCACAUGACUGUAUGUGUUGUCAUGUGACCUCAUGUGACCUGUACCUGACGUACCUGGCUAAGGUUAACCCUAGCUCAUGUGAUCUGAGGUCACCUGACUCCCUCACAGGAUGUGGUUUAGGGUGUUGAUCUCCACGUCACCACCAGGUGGAACCAUUUCAUGUGUUUUAAUGAUGUAAAUAAAGUUUCACGUGUU
This is a long non-coding RNA of Hippoglossus stenolepis (Pacific halibut), 368 nucleotides long. RefSeq lists it as uncharacterized. NCBI's taxonomy places the organism in Eukaryota, Metazoa, Chordata, Actinopteri, Pleuronectiformes, Pleuronectidae. The transcript has 2 exons. The record is from RefSeq and is a predicted model, not a curated record.